Molecule: long non-coding RNA, 554 nt
Organism: Salvia miltiorrhiza (redroot sage)
Lineage: Eukaryota; Viridiplantae; Streptophyta; Magnoliopsida; Lamiales; Lamiaceae
Exons: 2
Source: RefSeq, a predicted model, not a curated record
AUGCUCUUACCCUUCACCCAAGUACACCAUUUCAGCCUUUUCAACUGCUAACUCAUGGUCUUACAUCAACCAGAUUUCUACCCUUUCCACUCAACACAAAUUAUUUGAUCACUCACCACGUAUCACUCCGCAAGAAAGAAACUCAGAUUCAUAAGCCAAGUUAUACAAAAUAUACUUGAAGCUCAUCUCCUUCAACAAUUCAACGACAAAUGAACACCCCUCUUAUUCAACGUUUCAGCAGCAAACGAUCAGCCCUGUCAUUCAAGGUUGGCUGGUCGGUGCUGACGGGACGAGCUGAGGCUAGUGUUCAAAUUCUUAUUUAGACUUCCGAUGUAGCAAUAACUCUUAUUUGUUUUUUGUUUUCUCAACUUAAGACUUUCAUGUUAGAUUUAGAAUGACAUCUUUGAUUGAGCUUAAACACUUAACUCCUAGUUUUAUGCUAAUGAAUACUGGUUAUCAGAAGCAUGAAACAAAAUUUGUGAUCCAAAGGGGUCUAGCCCGACUUACCAUCCUAUUAUUCGGGUUUCAACAAGGUUUUUCCCUUGUUUAUUUCU